This 72-nucleotide transfer RNA is filed under the name Candidatus Bathyarchaeota archaeon. RNAcentral's name for it is "tRNA-Thr". It matches the Rfam family "tRNA". From Rfam's summary of the family: Transfer RNA (tRNA) molecules are approximately 80 nucleotides in length. Their secondary structure includes four short double-helical elements and three loops (D, anti-codon, and T loops). The record is from RNAcentral. RNAcentral also lists the same sequence under 1 other name. Lineage: Archaea; Thermoproteati; Candidatus Bathyarchaeota.
GCCCCGGUAGCUCAGUGGUGGAGCGAUUGCCUCGUAAGCAAUAGGUCGCGGGUUCAAUCCCCGCUCGGGGCU